UUUCUGAUUGCAUUCUUUUAUUAGAAAUAUAUAUUGACAACAUGAGUAAAAAAAGGCAUAACUGUUUUCGAAGUUCAAUAAAACAUCAUUAACCUAUUUUAAAAUUAAAUGUUAGUUUUGAGGUUUAGCCUUUUCCGAAAAUUUCUUCUCGGUGAAAGCCGGUUAUAUAAAUAUUUCGUAAAAACGUGCACAGACAUCUUUGGUAUUGAAUUGAAAUCCAUAUACGUGUAUAUUUGAAAGUUAAUUGAAAUGAAGAAAAUCCGUUUUUAAAGUCUAUUCUAAGUAGUGCAAUUCUGAAAACGUUUUGGAGCUCUAAUGUUCUUCAAUAAUUGCCUUUUCUCGAUUAUUAAGACUUCCCUCAAAAGCUUGCCUUGAGAUAUUUUCCGGAAUAUUUUCUCCUGCUGGCAUAAGAACGAUUGCUAUCGUUGUACUUUUGGGUUUACCAACCUCUGCCGUCGCUCCCGCUUGGUCAUCUUCAGUUUCCUGAGACUCCUCCAACUGUUCACUGUAUCUUGGCUUAUUAAGUUGUAUUUGCAGAUUGGCAUACCUUUUUCCAUCAGGUCUAUUAAAUAGUCCUUGAAGAUCCAGUCGUACAAGUUCUCCUUUCACUAAUGUUUUCGGUCUACUGUUUUUAUCUAUAAAAGUUGGUGCUUUCUCUUCAAUCAUUUCCCGAGCUUCGUCCGAUUCUUUUUUCUUGGCAUUAGUUAUGUCCGAUGAUGCUUCAUACCUUAUUUCGUAAACCAUAACUGUGCUUGAAUUUGAACGCAGAUAAAGGAAGUAUUAUGAAACCUCGUCCUUUGUAAUAAUACAUUUACCAAAAUGCACAUAUUUAUAUACUUUAUAUGCAUGGUCAUGUAGAUGAUUUAAUGGAAAAGGAUCCUCCAAAC
RNAcentral lists this long non-coding RNA (887 nucleotides) under Mytilus galloprovincialis (Mediterranean mussel). The record is from RNAcentral. Lineage: Eukaryota; Metazoa; Mollusca; Bivalvia; Mytilida; Mytilidae.